This 381-nucleotide ribosomal RNA is filed under the name uncultured bacterium. RNAcentral's name for it is "bacterial SSU rRNA". It matches the Rfam family "Bacterial small subunit ribosomal RNA", at positions 524 to 902 of the family's 1533-position model. The record is from RNAcentral.
UACGAAGGGGGCUAGCGUUGCUCGGAAUCACUGGGCGUAAAGGGUGCGUAGGCGGGUCUUUAAGUCAGGGGUGAAAUCCUGGAGCUCAACUCCAGAACUGCCUUUGAUACUGAAGAUCUUGAGUUCGGGAGAGGAGAGUGGAACUGCGGGGUGUAGAGGUGAAAUUCGUAGAUAUUCGCAAGAACACCAGUGCGAAGGCGGCUCACUGGCCCCGAUACUGACGCUGAGGCACGAAAGCGUGGGGGGAGCAAACAGGAUUAGAUACCCUGGUAGUCCACGCCGUAAACGAUGAAUGCCAGCCGUUAGUGGGUUUACUCACUAGUGGCGCAGCUAACGCUUUAAGCAUUCCGCCUGGGGAGUACGGUCGCAAGAUUAAAACUC